Quercus robur (English oak) is the source of this 4929-nucleotide long non-coding RNA. RefSeq lists it as uncharacterized. The transcript has 3 exons. Lineage: Eukaryota; Viridiplantae; Streptophyta; Magnoliopsida; Fagales; Fagaceae. The record is from RefSeq and is a predicted model, not a curated record.
UAAACCCAUUUUAAUUUAAGUGGAUUGCUGUUAACCCUACCCAUCAUGGAUUUUGUAUAUCCUGUACCCUCACAAAGAGGUGGGCCACACAGUGUGUGGGUCCCGUCUCCUUGUGAGGUACCAGGCAUGGCCAUCCCUACCCGAGACUAAAGCACGGUCCUUUCCUUUCAGCCAUCAACUACCUUCUUCCUCCUGAAACACCACAACAGCAAUCAUUCUGCAUUUCUACCCCCAAAACAGAACCAAAAUCACCUAGAAAAAUCCUUCAUCUUUUCCAUUUACACCAGCACAGACAGCCCAAAACCUCACCACCUGUAAACUUUCAAAAACGAAGCCCAAGAACCCCAAAAGGAAAACCAGAAAUCCCAGCAGCUAUACAGCCAUUAAAACCCAAAAACAGAGCCCCAGAACCCAGAAAAAUUCCUCCUUUUACCCAUUAAGCGAAGAAAACUAGCAAAGGUCACUCCUUUUUCCACUUAACUAAAAUCCCAACAAGCAACUAUCACCAAGGAACAGCAACUACACUGAGUCCAGAAACAUCGCUCACAACGAAUCAGAGACAUAGAAAAGGAAAAACAUGAAGUAGCAUCAACAAGGAAGGUGAAGGAGAAAAUCAAACUCCACCAGAUGAAUUUAAGAAAUGGGGCAACCCAAAUGAAGAUGGAGAAACAAAGAGCAAACAGAUUCAAAGCAGAACAUACGCAAAGAAAAAUAAAGUAUAACAUCAAAAAAGGUAAUAACUGUUCUUUAUCAUUGAUAAAGUGUUUGCUAAGUUCUGCCUACAUUCCUAUGCUACAUACAUUGUGCUAUUCGUUAUAUGUUCACCAACACACAGCUUGACUCUGGCAUAAAGAGUCUGUACACAUAAUUUUUGUUCAUCCAAGCAUGUACUACUAAACACAAAUUCCACACACAAACACUACACAACAAACACAUACAGAUUCACACCCACACCUAAACCCGUUUUGAAAUAACCCCAAAACCCAAAUCAAAACACACAUCAACACACAUAUCAAAACCCCAAAAUCCUAAUCAGAAAAUCCCUCUCAAACCAAAUCUAAAUCCCAACCCACAUAGAAUCCGAAACAAAGAGAUCAGAAAAUAAAAGAGAAAUAGAUAAGACAAAGCGAGAGAGAGAGAGAGAGAGAGAGAGAGACGCGGCCACCAGUUGUGGUGGCGCCUUUGAGCUGUGCUGUCGUGAAUGGUGGUGGUGCUCAUCUGGUUCAGUCCUAGGCUGACCUCGCGAGAUGAGAGAGUGGGUUUUGGAAGGGAGAAACCCGAGGGUGAGUGCCAUUUCGCUGUGGCUCGUGGUGGCUGUUGGUGGCGCCAUGGAGGUGUGGCUGUGGAGAUUUAGCUGGUGAACGGUGGCAGGGCUUAAGGGUUUCGGCCAUAUGGGUUUAGGUCUGUGCGAAGAGAAAGAGAGAGUGCGAGAAAGCUCGAGUUCUGGCCAUGGAGGUCUGAAUGUGAGAGAACUGCACUCGGUCUGUUUUGAGCACAGAUUUGAUCCACAAUUAAGCCUAAACAAGCCCACACCUUCACAACCCACAUUCAUUUGAAACAAGCCCAACCCGUGUAUGUAGAUUAAGCCCAAUCCGAAGAUCUAUCUACAUGGUGCCAUUAAAAUAAUGCUAACACAGGUGUAGAUUAUUUGCAGGUAAUAAUAUCUCGGUGUAAACUAAUCUACAAGCUUUUAUUAUUAAGCACAAAAUAAAAUAGUUGUUUGUUUUGUUUUUCCACUCAAUAAUGAAGCAAGAUAAUAUUGAAACUGCAAUUGAAAAUAACAAAUUAAAUUUGAGAAAAAUUAGUGAAGAAAAACACUAUGGAUUCAAAAAUCCACCUAAUAUUUUAUCAUAUAAACUUGGAUUAUUUUUAACUCAAUUAGGGUAGAAAGCCAACUCUCCAAAUCGGAAGAGAAGAUAAAACAAUAAAGCACUCAAGUAAGGUGAAGCAUAGAUUGAAUAUGAGUGAUUGAGCAAAUAAUUCAAUUGGCAUGCUACAAGUGAGAUUAAGCAUUCAAUAUAUUCUCAAAUCAUAAUAAAUUAAGGAGUUCAAGUAUUCGAUAUACAUAAAAAUCAUAUUAAAUCUUAAGUACUACACAUGCAAUGAUUCAAAAUGGUAAAAUUAAUCUUAAAAAUCAAUCAUCAAUCUAUAAAAAGGACAUAGAUAAUCCCCAAUAAUACAUGAUAAAAAUAUUAGGCUUCACUUCUAAACCUUCAAUGGGACAUCUAUGCAAAAGGUUAUGACAAAAAUAUCAAGACAGUGCAACAUAUUUCUAUAGCAUGAUUAUUUUGACCUUUGGAAUCUUGUGGUUACAUGAUUAGUUGAUUAGUUUUAAUUUCCUACAAAAAAAAAAAAUUAAUAAGUAUAUUUAAAAUAAAAUAGAUGUGAUAUAUUGCCUACCAAAACUAAGAUAAUAGUGUAAUUUCAAAUAAUUAUCACUACCAGUCCACACUCACAUUCCUAGCCCAACCCUAAGCCCAUGAUAAAAUUCUCCAAGCCCCAACUCCUCCUUCACACUUUUUUAUUUUUAUUUUUAUGAGAUCCUUCUUCGUACUUUAUUUCAAGCCAAGACCACGCUUAAAUAAAAUAAAACAAAGUCCCUCCAGCCCAAAAAUUCAUUCCUAACUCAGACUCAUCCAUUUUUAAACACUCAAGCCCAAAGGCCCCAAACUAAACAUCUAGCCCCCACACUUUCAAAAAAUUACACAUAGAAGAGUGGGAGGCUGGGAGCAGCCUCACAAGACAGAGAAGAUAGCUUCCCAAAAAAUUACACAUAGCUUCCUGAAAUUACAUUAGACCUGUAAAUUUCCCAAAAUUACACUUCAACCCCAAACUUUCACAAAAUGAAGAUUUUGAUCCAAAACUUUGCUGAAUUACAUUUUCAUCCCCAAAGCCUUUUCUAGAUUACAUAUUCAUACCCAAAACUUUUUCAAAUUGCAUUUUCAACCGCAAAUCUUGUCCAAGUUGCAUUUUGACGCCAACACUUUAAAAUUACAAAAAUUGCAAAAAGGCCCUUUAGGUCAUAAUAAUGCCACUGCAGUCCCAAAUUUUGCCAAAAAAAAAAAAAAAUUUCCUUAAAAAAAUAAUGAAAUUUUCAAAUAACAUUGUUUUCACAUCUUCUAGAAAUUAAAUCAUUUGUGUCCCUCAUUAUUUCUUCAUGUCUUUUGCAUGAGAUAAACUACUUUGGGAGAAGGAAUUGCAAGAUUACACUUGGUAUACUAUGCUAUGCAAUGAGUUCUCUUUCCAAAGACAUAGCUGGUAGUGAGAUCCAUUCAGAUUGAGCUCAUGAUGUUUGGAUGGAUUUGAAGGUACGGUAUAUUCAAAGAAAUGGUCCAAGAUUUCUUGAAUUGAAGAAAGUUUUAGCUUGUCACACUCAAGGUUCACUUAUUGUUGGAGAGUAUUUCACCAAGCUGAAGUGUUUGUGGGAAGAAUUGGUCAGUUAUAGAAUUUUGUCAGCUUGUUCAUGUGGUGCUAUGUUGAAGGUGCAUGAUAUAUUUCAGGAAGAGUAUGUUCUUGAAUUCCUCAUGGGUUUGAAUGAGAGAUAUUCCAAUCUUGAGCGAAAUUCUUUUGCUUGAACCUAUGUCAUCAAUUAUCAAGGUUUUCUUACUAGUUUAGCAAGAGAAAAGGCAGAAAUCUGUAGGCUUAAGAACAAUUAUGUGGUUGAAUCUGCUGUGUUAGCUACCAGAACUGAAAGCUCUUUUGUUCAUUGUUCUAAUUCCAAUAAUAAAGAUCGACCAAUCUGUUCUCAUUGUGGUUUGAAGGGUCACACUAUUGACUAGUGCUAUAGGGUUCAUGGAUUUCCUCCUUGAUAUAGGAAUGGAGGAAGGGAAGGUCAAAUGCAUCAAGCUGCAGUUUUUAUGGUUCCUAGGCCAACACUUGCAUCUGAAGCUCCUAAGCUCACCCUUUCACAGGCACAAUCAUAGUAUCAAGAGCUAAAUAACAUGUAGCUAUUUUAAGUUCUCAAUUUACCGAAAUGGGUACUGCAAGCACAAACCCUCAAGAAUCACAAUCAAUGGUUAAAUUUCCAGGACCACAAGCUGCUUAUGUGAUGACACAGACUUCAGGUUCAUACUCACAGCCUUCAACUUUUGCAGCCUUUGAGGACAUGGCAGGGCCUACAACAAUGACAGACGAUUGGAUUAGGUAGAGCAAAGGGGAAUCCAUACCUUUUGGACACUACUCUUACUACAUAACCUUAAUUUUCUUUUCCAUCCAUUGUUUCCAAUGUUUCUUGUAUGAAUAAUUUUUCAGCAGCUAUGCUUGCAAGUUUUAGUUCCCUACUUUUGUAAAAAAUAAAAGCCAAAGUGUACAUCUAUGGCAUGCCAGGUUGGGGUGUCCCUCCAUGUCUAGGCAAUUGCUCUUUUCUCAUUGUAAUCCUCAAAUUGUUGUUAAUAAUAAUGAGCAAUUUACUUAGACAAUCUGUACUUUGGCAAAGCAUAAAAGGAUACCCUUUCGAAGUGCUAACCACAUGUCUCAGCAUCCUUUUGAUCAUGUUCAUUGUGACACAUGGGCCCUUUUUCAAUUCCUACAUUAGAAGGCUUUAGAUAUUUCCUAACCUUGGUGGAUGACUACAUGGCUUUAUCUAUGAGUUUAAAGUUUGAAUCUUCUAUACAUAUUCCAACUUUCUUUUCUAUGAUUGACACUCAAUUUCAUGCCAAGAUAAAUUGACUCAAAUCAGACAAUGCUCCUGAUCUCAAAUUACUGGAGUUUUUCAAAAAUAAGGGUCAUAAAUUUUCAUUGUUGCUACACCUCAACAAAACUCAGUUGUUGAAAGAAAACAUCAACAUAUUUUAGAAAUGGUUAGAGCAUUAAAAUUUCAAUCUAUUAUACCUAUUCAUUUCUGGGGUGAAUAUGUGUUAAUUGUUGUGUACUUAAUAAGGGUCAUAAACAUCUUAGAGAAACUCCUUGAGUAGUUAAUAUAACAUAUAG